Molecule: ribosomal RNA, 705 nt
Filed under: uncultured bacterium
Lineage: Bacteria
Description: bacterial SSU rRNA
Rfam family: Bacterial small subunit ribosomal RNA
Source: RNAcentral
AGCGGCGGACGGGUGAGUAACACGUGAGAAUCUGCCCAUUAGUGGGGGAUAACCUGGGGAAACCCAGGCUAAUACCGCAUAAUCCCUACGGGGGAAAGCAGGGGACCUUCGGGCCUUGUGCUGAUGGGUGAGCUCGCGUCGGAUUAGCUUGUUGGUGAGGUAAUGGCUCACCAAGGCGACGAUCCGUAGCUGGUCUUAGAGGAUGAUCAGCCACACCGGGACUGAGACACGGCCCGGACUCCUACGGGAGGCAGCAGUGGGGAAUCUUGGACAAUGGGGGCAACCCUGAUCCAGCCAUGCCGCGUGUGUGAAGAAGGCCUUCGGGUUGUAAAGCACUUUCAGUAGGGAGGAAGGCUUAUCCUUAAUACGGAUGAGUACUUGACGUUACCUACAGAAGAAGCACCGGCUAAUUUCGUGCCAGCAGCCGCGGUAAUACGAAAGGUGCAAGCGUUAAUCGGAAUUACUGGGCGUAAAGCGCGCGUAGGCGGUUUGCUAAGUCAGAUGUGAAAGCCCCGGGCUCAACCUGGGAACUGCAUUUGAAACUGGCAGGCUAGAAUGCAGUAGAGGGAGGUGGAAUUCCCGGUGUAGCGGCGAAAUGCGUAGAGAUCGGGAGGAACACCAGUGGCGAAGGCGGCUCUGACUGACAUGGACGCUGAGUGCGAAGCGUGGGGAGCAAACAGGAUUAGAUACCCUGGUAGUUCACGC